UACGUAGGUGGCAAGCGUUGUCCGGAUUUACUGGGCGUAAAGGAUGCGUAGGCGGACAUUUAAGUCAGAUGUGAAAUACCCGAGCUUAACUUGGGUGCUGCAUUUGAAACUGGGUGUCUAGAGUGCAGGAGAGGUAAGUGGAAUUCCUAGUGUAGCGGUGAAAUGCGUAGAGAUUAGGAAGAACACCAGUGGCGAAGGCGACUUACUGGACUGUAACUGACGCUGAGGCCUGAAAGCGUGGGGAGCAAACAGG
This 253-nucleotide ribosomal RNA is filed under the name uncultured bacterium. RNAcentral's name for it is "partial 16S ribosomal RNA". It matches the Rfam family "Bacterial small subunit ribosomal RNA", at positions 524 to 776 of the family's 1533-position model. The record is from RNAcentral.